Suricata suricatta (meerkat) is the source of this 334-nucleotide long non-coding RNA. RefSeq lists it as uncharacterized. NCBI's taxonomy places the organism in Eukaryota, Metazoa, Chordata, Mammalia, Carnivora, Herpestidae. The record is from RefSeq and is a predicted model, not a curated record. The transcript has 2 exons.
CGUGGUCCUAACUAUCUGUGCAGCUCCAUCUCACGACAUGCCUGCCUUUGUUCUUUCUACUCACUGCCACCCCUACAGCCACAAUAAUGUGAAACUGCCUUAGGAAAAUUCCGAUGCUGUUGUGGAAAAAGCAGUGAAGGUCUCCAACAGGACGCUGCUUGUCUGGUCCCAGAGCCGGCUCUACCCCGGGCCGGCAGAUGCCAGCCAGGAGCGGGCGCUGGCUCGCGAGCUCGCGGGGACAGCCGUCCUGAUGCCUUUGGGUCACUAAGCUACAAAGAAACACUCUGUUUUAAAAGUCGUCUUACAGAAAGUAAUAAAGUGCUGUUUCUUGGGG